ACGCCGGCGGUGUGCCUAAUACAUGCAAGUCGAACGCGUUGGCCCAAUUGAUUGAUGGUGCUUGCACCUGAUUGAUUUUGGUCGCCAACGAGUGGCGGACGGGUGAGUAACACGUAGGUAACCUGCCCAGAAGCGGGGGACAACAUUUGGAAACAGAUGCUAAUACCGCAUAACAGCGUUGUUCGCAUGAACAACGCUUAAAAGAUGGCUUCUCGCUAUCACUUCUGGAUGGACCUGCGGUGCAUUAGCUUGUUGGUGGGGUAACGGCCUACCAAGGCGAUGAUGCAUAGCCGAGUUGAGAGACUGAUCGGCCACAAUGGGACUGAGACACGGCCCAUACUCCUACGGGAGGCAGCAGUAGGGAAUCUUCCACAAUGGGCGCAAGCCUGAUGGAGCAACACCGCGUGAGUGAAGAAGGGUUUCGGCUCGUAAAGCUCUGUUGUUAAAGAAGAACACGUAUGAGAGUAACUGUUCAUACGUUGACGGUAUUUAACCAGAAAGUCACGGCUAACUACGUGCCAGCAGCCGCGGUAAUACGUAGGUGGCAAGCGUUAUCCGGAUUUAUUGGGCGUAAAGAGAGUGCAGGCGGUUUUCUAAGUCUGAUGUGAAAGCCUUCGGCUUAACCGGAGAAGUGCAUCGGAAACUGGAUAACUUGAGUGCAGAAGAGGGUAGUGGAACUCCAUGUGUAGCGGUGGAAUGCGUAGAUAUAUGGAAGAACACCAGUGGCGAAGGCGGCUACCUGGUCUGCAACUGACGCUGAGACUCGAAAGCAUGGGUAGCGAACAGGAUUAGAUACCCUGGUAGUCCAUGCCGUAAACGAUGAGUGCUAGGUGUUGGAGGGUUUCCGCCCUUCAGUGCCGGAGCUAACGCAUUAAGCACUCCGCCUGGGGAGUACGACCGCAAGGUUGAAACUCAAAGGAAUUGACGGGGGCCCGCACAAGCGGUGGAGCAUGUGGUUUAAUUCGAAGCUACGCGAAGAACCUUACCAGGUCUUGACAUCUUGCGCCAACCCUAGAGAUAGGGCGUUUCCUUCGGGAACGCAAUGACAGGUGGUGCAUGGUCGUCGUCAGCUCGUGUCGUGAGAUGUUGGGUUAAGUCCCGCAACGAGCGCAACCCUUGUUACUAGUUGCCAGCAUUAAGUUGGGCACUCUAGUGAGACUGCCGGUGACAAACCGGAGGAAGGUGGGGACGACGUCAGAUCAUCAUGCCCCUUAUGACCUGGGCUACACACGUGCUACAAUGGACGGUACAACGAGUCGCGAACUCGCGAGGGCAAGCAAAUCUCUUAAAACCGUUCUCAGUUCGGACUGCAGGCUGCAACUCGCCUGCACGAAGUCGGAAUCGCUAGUAAUCGCGGAUCAGCAUGCCGCGGUGAAUACGUUCCCGGGCCUUGUACACACCGCCCGUCACACCAUGAGAGUUUGUAACACCCAAAGUCGGUGGGGUAACCUUUUAGGAGCCAGCCGCCUAAGGUGGGACAGAUGAUUAGGGGAAGUCG
Molecule: ribosomal RNA, 1498 nt
Filed under: Limosilactobacillus fermentum
Lineage: Bacteria; Bacillati; Bacillota; Bacilli; Lactobacillales; Lactobacillaceae
Description: Lactobacillus fermentum 16S ribosomal RNA
Rfam family: Bacterial small subunit ribosomal RNA
Source: RNAcentral